GGGGAAUCUUGCGCAAUGGGCGAAAGCCUGACGCAGCAACGCCGCGUGCGGGAUGAAGGCCUUCGGGUUGUAAACCGCUUUCAGUAGGGACGAAAUUGACGGUACCUACAGAAGAAGCCCCGGCCAACUACGUGCCAGCAGCCGCGGUAACACGUAGGGGGCGAGCGUUGUCCGGAUUUAUUGGGCGUAAAGAGCUCGUAGGCGGCUCGGUAAGUCGGGUGUGAAAACUCUGGGCUCAACCCAGAGACGCCACCCGAUACUGCUGUGGCUUGAGUCCGGUAGGGGAGCGUGGAAUUCCUGGUGUAGCGGUGAAAUGCGCAGAUAUCAGGAGGAACACCAGCGGCGAAGGCGGCGCUCUGGGCCGGAACUGACGCUGAGGAGCGAAAGCGUGGGUAGCAAAC
Molecule: ribosomal RNA, 401 nt
Filed under: uncultured bacterium
Lineage: Bacteria
Description: bacterial SSU rRNA
Rfam family: Bacterial small subunit ribosomal RNA
Source: RNAcentral